This 304-nucleotide ribosomal RNA is filed under the name Parabacteroides johnsonii. Its description in RNAcentral is "partial 23S ribosomal RNA". It matches the Rfam family "Bacterial large subunit ribosomal RNA", at positions 2606 to 2925 of the family's 2925-position model. The record is from RNAcentral. Lineage: Bacteria; Pseudomonadati; Bacteroidota; Bacteroidia; Bacteroidales; Tannerellaceae.
UGGGUUCAGAACGUCGUGAGACAGUUCGGUCUCUAUCUAUCGUGGGCGUAGGAUAUUUGAGGGGCUCUGACACUAGUACGAGAGGACCGUGUUGGACAGACCACUGGUUUACCGGUUGUACCGCCAGGUGCACCGCCGGGUAUCUAAGUCUGGAUUGGAUAAGUGCUGAAAGCAUCUAAGUACGAAGCCAGCCUCAAGAUAAGAUAUCCCUGAGGGUCGUUGUAGACUACGACGUAGAUAGGCUACAGGUGUAAGGGCAGUAAUGUCGAAGCCGAGUAGUACUAAUCGCCCGAGACUUUCGUAU